UUUGGAGGGUUUGCAGCUGUUCUCACUGCUUCUCCGGAAGAUUUGUUUCUAUAAAACAUGUUCAGUAGGAAAUGCCAUGUUUCUACAGAUCCGCACUGCACUCUUGACACUUUCCAUGAUUGCGGUCCAAAUGGACUGGCUUCUGCUCGGAAAGGGUUCCGGUUGAGCUCGGGUCGCGCGUAUGCAGUACGACAUGUAUAAUGUCACCGUUUCCCUCUUUCCGGUCUGUGAUGCUGGACGGAUUAUGCAGUGGGUUUUUGGAUUAAUGAAUGACUGACUGUUGAAUAGUGUGGAAUUUGUGAAGAUCUCUAGCGGCCUCCAGAAUAGUAUAAUAGUUUCUUAGUCAGUUUGCUUAAACUCUUGAUAAUUUGCGGGGAAACAAGUGUAAAUAUUUGAAAUAUUUCAGGCAGCCCUCAGAUUACGAACGAGUUCCGUUCCUGAGUCUGUUUUAAAUCGAAUCUGUACGUAAAUCGGAUAAUUGUACAUUUCAUCCGGACAGAGCCUUUUACACGCUCCGUUAUUUUCGCUUUGUCCUUUAAAAUUGUCCCGAUCGUCGACCGACUGUAGCCUAAUACUUUUCCAAUGUUCGUUGGCGUUUCACCUUUUUCCGAUCGCUUUAUUAUUUCCACUUUAGUUUCAAUCGUGAUCGUUUUCCUUUUCUUUAAUGCGUCACCAUCACCUGCAUCAUAUUUACACUUUGGUGUCAUGGUAACAAGGACACUGUUAACAGCAACAUGGACUGACUAACAAGAAGGAAGUCCUAGUCCAACUUCGGCCUCACGCGCUCCUCCCACGAGCCGACAAACCGCUGUUGACGCAAAAUGUUUUGAUGAGAGUCACAUAGUAGCGCCCGUUUCUUAUUAUGAAUCAUUGUAUGCAACUGGAAUUUUUAGGCUUUACGGGGUUCGGUUCAUAACUACGGGUUGUACGUAAGUCGGACGUUCGUAACCUGGGGACUGCCUGUAUUUUAAAAACAUAGACGUAGUAUGUUUACUUUUUCUAGCUCACCGGACAGUUUGUGCCUUGCUAAAAAUUGC
RNAcentral lists this long non-coding RNA (1037 nucleotides) under Scleropages formosus (Asian bonytongue). RNAcentral describes it as "lncRNA (ENSSFOG00015031412.1)". Lineage: Eukaryota; Metazoa; Chordata; Actinopteri; Osteoglossiformes; Osteoglossidae. The record is from RNAcentral.